This 262-nucleotide ribosomal RNA is filed under the name uncultured bacterium. Its description in RNAcentral is "partial 16S ribosomal RNA". It matches the Rfam family "Bacterial small subunit ribosomal RNA", at positions 793 to 1055 of the family's 1533-position model. The record is from RNAcentral.
GUCCACGCCGUAAACGGUGGGAACUAGGUGUGGGCCACAUUCCACGUGGUCUGUGCCGCAGCUAACGCAUUAAGUUCCCCGCCUGGGGAGUACGGCCGCAAGGCUAAAACUCAAAGGAAUUGACGGGGGCCCGCACAAGCGGCGGAGCAUGUGGCUUAAUUCGAUGCAACGCGAAGAACCUUACCUGGGUUUGACAUGCAGGGAAAUCUGGUAGAGAUACCAGGUCCGCAAGGGCCUUGCACAGGUGGUGCAUGGCUGUCGU